Molecule: long non-coding RNA, 724 nt
Organism: Oncorhynchus kisutch (coho salmon)
Lineage: Eukaryota; Metazoa; Chordata; Actinopteri; Salmoniformes; Salmonidae
Exons: 4
Source: RefSeq, a predicted model, not a curated record
CGCACCAAAACAGGCAGAAAUCUCCAGCUGUAUUUUCAAACAGCUCUUACACUUAAAGGACAUAUCACACUCUAAAAAUGCUGGGUUGUUUGGAUGACCCAUUUGCUGGGUUGAAGGCAUUUGGUCACUUAGCUGGUUUGUUUUCUUUAAUAGGAGCAACGUUGGGUUGUUGAUACUGGGUUAUUGAGGUUGGGGUUUUGAGAUAUGUUCCAGUGAGUGGGUUAAAUUCUCCCACCAAAACCAGAAGAUAAAGUGAUCCGGCAAGCUUGUGAAUGAGGACUGUUGCAUCUGUAACAAGUCUACUGUUGCAACCGGCACUGAGGGGAAUUACUUUUCUUAUGGACAAAAGGGGCAAGCCGUUGUGGCUGACCGAAAAAAAUGUUACUAAAGGCCCUGAGAGUGCUUCUCCCUCCAUCAGUGUACCCAGUGCAGAUACUACAGAAUACAUGGUCCUAAAAGGGUUUCCCCCAACACCAGUGUAAAAAGUUAGAAAGAAGACUGCCCGCACAAGCACUGAUGAGGCCCGAAACUCAUAUUGCAAUCAUAUUCUCUAAUCUCCCGGUUGGAACCAAUAUGACUGAAUAUCUCCACCAGGCGACCAAAAGAACAAGUGACCCGACACCCUUUGUUCUGAGUCUCGGGGACAAUCGUCUCUAGUCCCUGGCAUUCACCAUCAUGAAUGGGCAGGUUCUGGAGACAUUAUGUGUUGUUGUUGUUUUUACAA